This 465-nucleotide ribosomal RNA is filed under the name uncultured bacterium. RNAcentral's name for it is "partial 16S ribosomal RNA". It matches the Rfam family "Bacterial small subunit ribosomal RNA", at positions 28 to 507 of the family's 1533-position model. The record is from RNAcentral.
GACGAACGCUGGCGGCGUGCUUAACACAUGCAAGUCGAACGGAAAGGCCCCUUUGGGGGUACUCGAGUGGCGAACGGGUGAGUAACACGUGAGUAACCUGCCCUUGACUUCGGGAUAACUUCAGGAAACUGGGGCUAAUACCGGAUAGGAAUCCUUGCUGCAUGGUGGGGGUUGGAAAGCUUCGGCGGUUUUGGAUGGACUCGCGGCUUAUCAGCUUGUUGGUGGGGUAGUGGCUUACCAAGGCUUUGACUGGUAGCCGGCCUGAGAGGGCGACCGGCCACAUUGGGACUGAGAUACGGCCCAGACUCCUACGGGAGGCAGCAGUGGGGAAUAUUGCACAAUGGGCGGAAGCCUGAUGCAGCAAGGCCGCGUGCGGGAUGACGGCCUUCGGGUUGUAAACCGCUUUCAGCAGGGGCGAAGCUUGUGGUGACGGUACCUGCAGAAGAAGCACCGGCUAACUACGUG